CACAUAAGACAUGCAAGUCGAACGGACCAAUACGAUGUUUACAUUGUAAGAGGUUAGUAGGCGGACUGGUGAGUAACACGUAAGCAACCUGCCAUUAGAGGGGAAUAACACUGAGAAAUCAGUGCUAAUACCGCAUAAGCUAGUAGUACUGCAUGGUACAGCUAGAAAAGGAGUAAUCCGCUAAUAGAUGGGCUUGCGACUGAUUAGCUAGUUGGUGUGGUAAUGGCAUACCAAGGCAACGAUCAGUAGCCGGACUGAGAGGUUGAACGGCCACAUUGGGACUGAGAUACGGCCCAGACUCCUACGGGAGGCAGCAGUCGGGAAUAUUGCGCAAUGGAAGGGAACUCUGACGCAGUGACGCCGCGUAUAGGAAGAAGGUUUUCGGAUUGUAAACUAUUGUCGUUAGGGAAGAAAAGGACAGUACCUAAGGAGGAAGCCCCGGCUAACUAUGUGCCAGCCGCCGC
Molecule: ribosomal RNA, 464 nt
Filed under: uncultured bacterium
Lineage: Bacteria
Description: bacterial SSU rRNA
Rfam family: Bacterial small subunit ribosomal RNA
Source: RNAcentral